UACAGAGGGUGCAAGCGUUGUUCGGAAUUAUUGGGCGUAAAGCGCGUGUAGGCGGCUUUGCAAGUCGGGUGUGAAAGCCCUCAGCUCAACUGAGGAAGUGCGCCCGAAACUGCAGAGCUUGAGUGCCGGAGAGGGUGGCGGAAUUCCCCAAGUAGAGGUGAAAUUCGUAGAUAUGGGGAGGAACACCGGUGGCGAAGGCGGCGCUCUGGGCCGGUACGUGACACUGAGGAGCGAAAGCGUGGGUAGCAAACAGG
RNAcentral lists this ribosomal RNA (254 nucleotides) under uncultured bacterium. Its description in RNAcentral is "partial 16S ribosomal RNA". It matches the Rfam family "Bacterial small subunit ribosomal RNA", at positions 524 to 776 of the family's 1533-position model. The record is from RNAcentral.